CAGGUCCAUACAGCACUAAGUCAUUGGCGAACUAAAGUUUCUCUGAGAAGUUUUGAAAUCUUUACUGUUGGCAGACUGCGAACUGAGAUAUAUUCUCUUCACAAAAUGGAUUUCCGUCUGAAUGUUUGUCUGUUUUUGAUACUUUUCGUGGCAUUUUCUGACGUUGAUGGCCGUCAAUUUGUAGAAGAUAAAGCGGAUCAAUAUCCUUGUGAUGACUUCGGUGGUUAUUGUACCGAUCGAGGUAACCUUUGUGACCCAGGCUAUAUUGGGUGUGGCAUACUUUGUCCAGGCUUUCUACAACUUUGCUGUUGCCUGGAUUAAAAUGGAAAAUAAAACUGGAAUGGUGUAACUAAGAAGUUAUUGUGCAUC
This is a long non-coding RNA of Dendronephthya gigantea, 369 nucleotides long. RefSeq lists it as uncharacterized. NCBI's taxonomy places the organism in Eukaryota, Metazoa, Cnidaria, Anthozoa, Malacalcyonacea, Nephtheidae. The transcript is spliced from 4 exons. The record is from RefSeq and is a predicted model, not a curated record.